UGGGGAAUCUUGCACAAUGGGGGAAACCCUGAUGCAGCGACGCCGCGUGAGCGAUGAAGGUUUUCGAUUCGUAAAGCUCUGUCCUAUGGGAAGAUAAUGACGGUACCAUGGGAGGAAGCCCCGGCUAACUACGUGCCAGCAGCCGCGGUAAUACGUAGGGGGCGAGCGUUGUCCGGAAUUACUGGGCGUAAAGGGUUCGCAGGCGGAAUGGCAAGUCCGAUGUAAAAGGCGAAGGCUCAACCUUCGUAAGCAUCGGAAACUGUCAAGCUUGAGUGAAGGAGAGGCAAGUGGGAUUCCUAGUGUAGCGGUGGGAAGCGUAGAUAUUAGGAGGAAUACCGGUGGCGAAAGCGACUUGCUGGACUUCAACUGACGCUGAGGAACGAAAGCGUGGGUAGCAAGCAGG
RNAcentral lists this ribosomal RNA (403 nucleotides) under Fusobacteriota bacterium. RNAcentral describes it as "Fusobacteria bacterium partial 16S ribosomal RNA". It matches the Rfam family "Bacterial small subunit ribosomal RNA", at positions 355 to 776 of the family's 1533-position model. The record is from RNAcentral. Lineage: Bacteria; Fusobacteriati; Fusobacteriota.